AACGCAUAUUGCGCUCGAGCCCUCGGGCAAGAGCAUGUCUGCCUCAGCGUCGGUUUACACCCUCACCCCUCCCAACUUGUUGAGGUGCGUUUGCUCUGUUUGCAAGCCUAGGGGUGGAUCUGGCUUCCCCAACCAGCCAUCAGGCAGAUUGGGUUGGCUGAAGUGCAAAGGCUUAAGCAAGGACCCGAUAUGGGCUUCAACUGGAUAGGUAGCACCGGCUUCUGCCGACUACACGAAGUUGUUGCUUGUGGAUCUUGCUAGAAGCUAAGUAGGAAUGUGCCCUUGGCAUACCUAAACUUUCGACCUGAGCUCAGGCAAGAUUACCCGCUGAACUUAA
Molecule: unclassified non-coding RNA, 337 nt
Filed under: Epithamnolia sp.
Lineage: Eukaryota; Fungi; Ascomycota; Leotiomycetes; Phacidiales
Description: partial contains 5.8S ribosomal RNA, internal transcribed spacer 2, and large subunit ribosomal RNA
Source: RNAcentral